GAGAUGGUUCUCUAUGAGGUCCAUCAUCGGAAUGGGUACAAUUUAAACCCUUUAACGAGGAUCUAUUGGAGGGCAAGUCUGGUGCCAGCAGCCGCGGUAAUUCCAGCUCCAAUAGCGUAUAUUAAAGUUGUUGCGGUUAAAAAGCUCGUAGUUGGAUCUGCGGUCUCGCGUCCUGGUGUUCCCGCAGGGUUCUACUGGGUUCGCAGGCCUACCUCGCUG
Molecule: ribosomal RNA, 219 nt
Filed under: Paralongicyatholaimus sp.
Lineage: Eukaryota; Metazoa; Nematoda; Chromadorea; Chromadorida; Cyatholaimidae
Description: partial small subunit ribosomal RNA
Rfam family: Eukaryotic small subunit ribosomal RNA
Source: RNAcentral